CCUACGGGAAGCAGCAGUAGGGAAUAUUGGUCAAUGGGUGAGAGCCUGAACCAGCCAUGCCGCGUGCAGGAAGACGGCCUUAUGGGUUGUAAACUGCUUUUGUCAGGGGAUAAAAUUUCCUUGCGAGGAAAAUUGAAGGUACCUGGUGAAUAAGCCACGGCUAACUACGUGCCAGCAGCCGCGGUAAUACGUAGGUGGCAAGCGUUGUCCGGAUUUAUUGGGUUUAAAGGGUGCGUAGGCGGCCUAUUAAGUCAGUGCUGAAAUAUUCCGGCUUAACCGGGAGGGUGGCAUUGAUACUGAUGGGCUAGAGUACAGAUGAGGUAGGCGGAAUUGACGGUGUAGCGGUGAAAUGCUUAGAUAUCGUCAAGAACACCUAUAGCGAAGGCAGCUUACUAGGCUGUAACUGACGCUGAGGCACGAAAGUGUGGGGAUCAAACAGGAUUAGAUACCCUGGUAGUCCACACUGUAAACGUUGAUUACUCGCUGUGUGCGAUAUACAGUACGCGGCCAAGCGAAAGCGCUAAGUAAUCCACCUGGGGAGUACGCCGGCAACGGUGAAACUCAAAGAAAUUGACGG
This 577-nucleotide ribosomal RNA is filed under the name uncultured Ohtaekwangia sp. RNAcentral's name for it is "bacterial SSU rRNA". It matches the Rfam family "Bacterial small subunit ribosomal RNA", at positions 338 to 916 of the family's 1533-position model. The record is from RNAcentral. Lineage: Bacteria; Pseudomonadati; Bacteroidota; Cytophagia; Cytophagales; Fulvivirgaceae.